RNAcentral lists this small nuclear RNA (121 nucleotides) under Trichobilharzia regenti. Its description in RNAcentral is "U5 spliceosomal RNA". It matches the Rfam family "U5 spliceosomal RNA". From Rfam's summary of the family: U5 RNA is a component of both types of known spliceosome. The precise function of this molecule is unknown, though it is known that the 5' loop is required for splice site selection and p220 binding, and that both the 3' stem-loop and the Sm site are important for Sm protein binding and cap methylation. The record is from Rfam by way of RNAcentral. Lineage: Eukaryota; Metazoa; Platyhelminthes; Trematoda; Strigeidida; Schistosomatidae.
UAACUCUGGUGUCUCCUCAUUUGCGGAUUAAUCUUUCGCCUUUUACUAAAGAUGCGUCUCCGUAGGGAGGCACAAUACAAUGAGUCUUGUCUCACUUUUUUUCACCUCACGUUUGUAUUCG